UACGUAGGUGGCAAGCGUUGUCCGGAAUUACUGGGUUUAAAGGGUGCGUAGGCGGAUUAGUAAGUCAGUGGUGAAAGCCCAUCGCUUAACGGUGGAAUUGCCAUUGAUACUGCUAGUCUUGAGUAUGGUUGAGGUGGGCGGAAUGUGUCAUGUAGCGGUGAAAUGCUUAGAUAUGACCCAGAACACCAAUUGCGAAGGCAGCUCGCUAAACCAUAACUGACGCUGAUGCACGAAAGCGUGGGGAGCAAACAGG
Molecule: ribosomal RNA, 253 nt
Filed under: uncultured bacterium
Lineage: Bacteria
Description: partial 16S ribosomal RNA
Rfam family: Bacterial small subunit ribosomal RNA
Source: RNAcentral